CCUUUUCGUUGUUUCCUUUAAGUUGAUUGAUUCACUUAGUUAUCUCUUUCACUUAUUCGCCUUGUAACUAUCUAUGCAGUCAAUCAGGUUUCGAAGGCCAACCAAGUGGGAAUAAUUUGGAGGGUCAAGGAUAUCCAACCAAGCUUUCCUUAGAGAAACCAGUAGUAAUUUUUAUCUGUUGUUGAGUGUGUUAAGCAUGAAGCCUUUCAAAAGCUCUUACUUGCAAGUGUAUUCCUCCUAAUUCAGGUUAUAUAUGUGGACGUGUUCUUUAUUUUUCACCAUCUUCUUUGUAUCUGUUAUAGUUACCAUGUAAGAUGUUUGAAUACUAUUGUUGAGAGGUUGGUUUUUUGUUUUUCUUGGAGAAGAAACGAUAACACUUCAGAAUAGUUCACAAGCAAAUGUUUUGAGAAUUCGGAUUAUCUAGAAGACAGAGUAGAAAGAAAAACUAGAAAACGAACAUUUACAGGAAAAUAAAAACGAGAAUUGAAUGACCAGUGAGACAUUAGAAUUUGAUUGUGAAAAUAAAAUCUACAGGAUAUAUAAACGUUUUGGCAUAUGUUUUUGCAGUAAAAUCAUUUUCUUUUGGACAGUAUUAGAGCUGCUGUUGCAAUAAGCUUGACACGAGUAAGGAGUUAACAGAGUUUUAAAACUGUUAAGUCGAGAGACAGGUGUCGCCGCUUGACUGGCAGAAAGAGGCUUGAUUCCAAAGGAACCCUCACGGUGUAAGUAGCCGACACAUUUAGGCUUUAAAUAUAUAAACGACGUCUAAUAACGGCUCUCUCUAUCUCUCUCCCAAUUCAAUUUUGAAUCACAAGCUUUGGCUCUCUCUCUCUUUGUGAUUUUUGAAAUUCAAAAUUGUUUGGGUUUCUUACAGCCGCUCCGGUGCGGCCAACCACCGUUGUGGUUAGCUUCACCACAACAAGGUAAAAUCGUUAGGCUUCUCUUUUGUUUGAUACUUCCUUUCAGUUUCGGUAAUCGUCUCUACAAUUCAAUUGAAUCUCAUAGUAAUCUUUUUCUAUUUCACAUUUAGGGUGUUGAUUCCAUUUUUUUCUUUUCCAUAAUUCAAUUUCAGGUAUACUCGUGAUGGUGGGUUUCAGACGUUCAUUGGUUUGCGAUUUGAUCAUGAUUAUGUGGUAUAAUCUCGAUUAGGCCCUUCGAUUUUUCAAGGUAUGAUGAAAAGCCUAGUAAUAUGCAUGAAAUUUUAAUUCAGAUCUCUUGGGGUGUUGAGGAAUCAUGUUUGAUUGGGCCCGAAUUAUAAAGGAUUUUUUUAAUACCGUUAUUAUUGUGUAAGGUUGCCUGCUAAUUGAUUCCAUCAAAAUAAGGGUAUAUGAAAGUUUUGAAAAGACUAUGCCGAAUUAGUGACUAAAAGGUUGCCUCUUGAGAUUUAAAGCAUUAUGCAAACAUGUUGCCAUCAUUGGAAGUUGGAAUGUAACAACUCAAGUGAUUGUGUGCCCAACUUGAGGUUCCAACAACUGCUUAUUGAUGCAGUAGUGUUGGAGAAGACCACUGAUUGUUGCCUUUGAUGAAUUGUUUCCUUGUUGGUUUUUGUUCAUAAGAUUGUUGCUUUUACUGAAUUGUUGCAUUCUGUGAUUAAAAUUGUUGCCUUGUUGGAUUCUGUUGCCUUUACUGAAUUGUUGCCUUCUGUUAAUAAAAUUGAUGCUUUGCCGGUUUCUGUUCAUAAGAUUGCUGCCUUUGGGUGUAUGUUGAUAAGAUCGUUGCCUUUACUGAAGUAUUAUCUUGUCGGUUUUUGUUCAUAAGUUUGUUGCCUUUACUAAAUUGUUCCCUUGCCGGUUUCUAUAAUCAAUUUGUUGUCUUCUGUUAAUAAAAUCACUACCUUGCCGGUUUCUAUUCAUAGGAUUGCUGCCAUGUCGGUUUCUGUUGAUAGAAUCGUUGCCUUUACAAAAGUGUUGCCUUGUUAGUUUUUGUUAAUAAGUUUGUUGUCUUUACUAAAUUGUUGCCUUGUCGGUUUCUAUAAUGAAUUUGUUGCCUUUUGUCAAUAAAAUUGUUGCCUUGCCAGUUUCUGUUCAUAAGGCUGCCUAGUCGAUUUCUGUUGAUAAAAUCGUUGUCUUUACAGAAGUGUUGCCUUGUCGGUUUUUGUUCAUAAGUUUGUUGCCUUUGCUGAAUUGUUGCCUUGCCGGUUUCUAUAAUGAAUUUUUUUGUCUUUUGUUAAUAAAAUUGUUGUAUUGUCGGUUUCUGUUAAUAAGAUUUUUGCUUAGCUUUAUUGGGUGUGAUUUAUCCUAGCUUGAGGUUUUAACAGAAACCUCAUUGUUGCUUUUUAAGGAAAUAUUGGACAUAUGUUUUUGGUAUAGUGAUUAGAGGUUGAAUUUCCGGAAGUGUAACAACCUAAUCCCUACCAUUGAGAUAUUGUCCGCUUUGGGCCCACCGGCCCUCACAGUUUUGUUCUUGAGGUUUCACCCAAAAACGCGUCUCAAUGUAAAGUGCUAGCUCUGCACAUAUAAACACAACAACUUGUCUCCCCCGGGCGAUGUGGGACGGGUGCACCUACUAGGCUGCCUGCCUAGUUAAGUCACCACAAGAAGCACUAUGAUGUCCUAUUUUUCUGAUUAACCUCUUUAGGUACCUCACUUACGAACAAAAUCCCCUUUUCGAUUUUAUGCUAUGUGGAUGCACCAUGAUACUUUGAUUAUGUUUUUGAGACCCGAGUAAAGAGAUUGAAUUUGUUGGUGCAUAUUGAAUUUGUUGGUGCGUAAUGCAUUGGUCUCCACAUUUAGAGAAAGUUUGGGCUAGUCGUUGUUGCUUGUCAGUUGUUUGACAAAAUGUCCCAUAGGAAUAUAAAUUUCUUAGAUGCAGUAAUAUCGGCUAUGCCUCCAAGGGUAUGCCAAAUGAAGCAUUUGAGCUGUUUGAGAAACUGUAGAUGUGAGGGUAUUGAAAUAAGUAUUUUAACUUGGAGUACCAUAGCUGGAGGUUGAUUAAGAAUAUAAAUUAUAAAGGGUGCUCUAGAGUUGCUUUCUCAUAUGAGAGUUGGUGGUAUUUAACUGGGUUGAUAUAUGACAUUUACUGUUGAGCAUAGUUCUUCUUCGCACAUUGGAGCUAUUAUGGUAGGGAAGGAUAUAACACAGCUGACGGUCAUAUAUGAGAAUUAGAUAUAACAUAAUGAGAUGCUAUACUCUUAUCUAUGUAUAUGGUAUGGCUUAAAUGUUUGAACUGAUGGAGUACUCGUUGACAGAUAUGAUUGAAAGGGGUAGUUGCCUUCCUGAUGUUUCACAUCAGUUCUUCCAUUGAUGCGUAUGGUAUGUUUUCAUAUACCGUUAAUUGAUUUCCUCAAAAUAAGGGUAUAUGAAAGUUUCAAAAGACUAGUCGGAAUUGGUGACUAAAAGGUUGCCCCUUGAGAUUUAAAGCAUUAUGCAAACAUGUUGUCAUCCUUGGAAGUUGGAAUCUAAAUGAUUUUUUGCCCAAGUUGAGGUUCCAACAACCAACUUAUUGAUGCAGUAGUGUUGGGGGAUACUACUUAAAUUGUUCCCUUGUCAGUUAAGAUUGUUGCCUUCACUGAAAUUGUUGCCUUGUUGGUUGUUGCCUAUAUUGAAAUUGUUGCUUUACUGAAAUUCUUGCCAUGUCAAUUGCCUUUACUCAAAUUGUUGCCUUUUCGGUUAUUGCCUUUAAUGAGAUUGUUACCUUGUUUGUUGUGAUUUUUCUUAGCUUGAGUUUUAAUAAAAAAAACUCAUUGUUCCCUUUUAAGGAAAGAGUGGACAGAUGUUUUGUGAUAGUGAUCAAAGGUUGAAUGGAAGCACUAAGAUGUCCUCUUCUUCUAAUCAAUCUCUUUGGUACCUCACUUACGAACGAAAUCCCUUUUCGAUUUCAUGUCAUGUGGAUGCACCAUGUUACUUACUAUGACUAUGUUUUUCAAACCUGAGUAAAUGUAUUGAAUUUGUUGGUGCAUAUUUCAUUGGUGUCCGCAUAUAGAAAAAGUUCGGGCUCGUCGAUGUUGCUUGCCAGUUGUUUGACAAAAUGCCUCAAAGAUAUAUAAAAUUUCUUGGAAUGUAGUAAUAUCAGUUAUACCUCCAAGGGUAUGUUGAAUGAAGCAUUUGAGUUGUUUGGGAAAUUGUAGAUGUGGGGGGUACUAAAUAAGGGUACCUGCCAAUUGUGCAAGGUUGCCAGCCAAUUGAUUCCAUCAAAAUAAGGGUAUAUGAAAGUGUUUGGAUGACUAGUCGGAAUUGGUUUUGCAUCUUGAGAUUUAAAGCAUUUUGCAAACAUGUUGCCGUCAUUAGAAGUUGGAAUGUCACCACUCCAGUGAUUUUUUGCCCAACUUGAGGUUCCAAUAACAAUCUCAUUGAUGUAAUAGUGUUUAGGAGAGACUACUGAAAUUGUUGCCUUGUCGAUUUCUGUCAAUAAGAUUGUUGCCUUAUUGGUUGUGAUUCUUCCUAGCUUGAGGUUUCAAUAGACAACUCAUUGUUGCCUGGUCGGUUUCUGUUAAUAAGAAUGUUGACUUGUCGAGUUCUGUUCAUAAGAUUGUUGCCUUGUCGGUUUAUGUUCAUAUGAUUGUUGCCUUUACUGAAUUGUUGCCUUGUCGGUUUCUGUCAAUAAAAUUGUUUUCUUAUGUUAAUAAAAUUGUUGUCGUCCGUUUCUGUUCAUGUGAUUGUUGCCUAGCCUUACCGGUUAUGAUUUUUCCUAACUAGAGGUUUUAACAGAAACCUCAUUGUUGUCUUUUAUGGAAAGAUUUGAUAUGUUUUUGUGAUAGUGAGUGGAGGUUGCAUAUCCCGGAAGCACAAGGAUGUCAUUUUCUUCUGAUCAAUCUCUUUAGGUACCUAACUUACGAACUAAGCCCGUGAUACUUACAAUGUGAAUAUGUUUUUGAGACCUGAUUAAUGAGAUUGAAUUUGUUGGUGCAUAAUUCAUUGGUCUCGCAUUUAGAGAAACUUUGGGCUCGUCAAUGUUGCUCGUCAGUUGUUUGACAAAAUGCCCCAAAGGAAUAUAAAAUUUCUUGAAAUAUAGUAAUAUCCAUUAUGCCUCCAACGGUAUGUCAAAUUAAGUAUUUGAGCUGUUUGGGAAAUUGCAGAUGUUAGGUACUAAAAUAAGGAUUUUAACUUAGAGUACCAUAGCUAGAUAGAAGUUGCUUGAGAGCACAAAAUAUAAAGGGUGCUCUAGAGUUUCUUUCUCAUAUGAGAGUUGGUUAUAUUCAACUAGGCUUGGUGGCAUUUAUUGUUGGGCAUAGUGCUUGUUCCCACAUUGGGGCCAUUAAGGUAGGGAAAGAGUUUUAUGGUUCUAUAGUAAAUGCCCUAGAGGAAUAUAAAAUUUAUUGGAAUACAGUAAUAAUCGUUAUGCCUCUAAGGGUAUGUCGAUUUAAUCAUUUGAGCUGCUUGGGAAAUUGCAGAUUUUGGGUACUGAAAUAAAGAUUUUAACUUAAAGAACCAUAGAUAGAGGUUGCUUGAGAGCAUAAACUUGAGAGCAUAAAGGGUGCUCUAGAGUUGUUUUCGCAUAUGAGAGUCAGUUAUAUUCAACUUGGCUUGGUGUCAUUUACUGUUCGACAUAAUGCUUGUUCCCACAUUGGGGCCAUUAAGGUAGGGAAGAAGUUGCAUGGUUCUACAGUUCUACAGUAAAGUAAUAGACUUAUAGCUGAGAUGUCAUAUAUGAUAUAUGAGAAUUUAUAUAGCAUAGUGAGAUGCAAUACUCAUAUCGAUAGAUAUGAUGUGGCUUAAAUGUCUAAACUGAUGGAGGACUCAUUGAUAGAUAUGAUUGAAAGGGUAGUUGUCUUCCUGAUGUUUUCACAUCAAUUCUUCCAUUGAUGCGGAUGAAGUGUGGGCAAUAGAUUAGAUGGAGAUGUGGUAUGAUGAAUUUCAGCUAAUGUGAAUAUAGCCAGACCUUAAGACAGUUAAUAUCCUUAUUAGAGCAUAUGGGAAAAGAAGGAUGUAUGAAAGCAUGGAUCUGUUUUGAACUUUCAGAUACCCUUGUUAAACAGAUCUAUGUUUGUUAAACUUUUCGGCUUUACUAAUCUGAAAUGUAACAAUUCUGUAAAGAUUGCUAAUUGAUCCCAUCUGAAUAAGGGUAUCUGAAAGUUUCAAAAAUACUAGUCGAAAAUAGUCCCUAAAACGUUGCCUGUCAGAUUUAUUCUCAAAAUGCUCUUGCUACAGAAGUUCUGUGGAUUUCAAAAUCAAAGUUCAAAUUUUAUCUUCGUUGUGCAAGUUAUUCAAACGAGUUUAACAAAAUGUCUUGUGCUGUUUGUUAUGUUCCAGACCAUAGGGCAUCAUUUCUGUUUCUCCAAACAGCUCUUGUAGUUUAAAGCUUUGCAAACAUAUCAGGUGGCAUGGUGAUCUUUCGAGUAUCCAUUCUUUAAAGUUUAGAGAUGGUAUAGUAGCACCCAAGGUGAAAGGUGGAACAGUGACAAUAACAACUGGACACUUGCAGAACAAAUACACAGCAUCUAAACUUUUUGAGUACACAACGGACAAUUAAAAGCUCCUUCAUAUCUUUUCGAAUAAGACUUUCCCUUGUUGGUAGAUGGUUGUUGCAAGUAUGCCAAACACAAAUGUCUACUUCCUUGUACAUUUUAAAGCACACCUUUCCUAACAAUCCAAUAGGCAGACUUCGAUGAGUAAUGGCCUCUCUUUUCAGGGUUCUAAAUUAAUCUGUCCGGAGUAGUAUUUCUGUCUAAUGCACAAAAUAUAUUGCAGAAAAGGAAAAAGGUCAUAAACAGCUGUAGGUUUCCAUUGGUUGCAUUAUGCAUCUAUUAAGUGAUUCAAGUUUGCCACCACAUUGAUUCUUGUAUUGUUUGGUCUUAGUGCAAGGAAAGACUAUUGAGUAGGAAUCCAUUUAUCUUGCCACACAUUGACUUUGAUAGUGUCACACCCCGAAUUUUGGAUAAAUAAAAAAAUUCCAAAUUCAAGGCAUAAUAACUAAAAGAAAAACAAACUUUACAACACUUUAAUUUUACAACUUGUGAAAGAAUAAUUUGAAACAGGUAAAACCUCCCUCAAUACUCACAAAUCUAGAAAGUAAACACAAGGAACAAGCCUAACUGCCACAGCCUCAACUCUGCUAAUCCUGACCUGCAAAAACAACCUCUACACCAUGGAUUGGUGCACCGGGUUGUAAACAACAAACUCGGUAAGCUUUAAAAGCUCGUAUGAGUAAAUCUCUAAACAACAUACUCAACCCAACAACACAUAAGGUAAACACCAAGAGUUCAUGCAUUAAAAACAAAUUCAGAAAAAAACACUUACAAACAAGAGAAAUCGAAAGGAGAAAUUAAGAAAACACAACAAUUCACAAUCACUCAAAAUCAUAAAUGAAAUCCUGCAAAAAGAAUAGUUCAGGAAUUCCAUUAAAAUCACACAAUUAAACAUUAAAAAAUCUCUUACGGACAAGCAUAGUUCAGGAGAUACUCAAAGUAAGGAAUUUAAAUCACAUCACAUAAGAACAUUACCAAAUCAUUUCUCUACUCUUACUUAUGAGUUUGUCAACGCAUAGUCAUCCCCCAUAAGUAACUAGACAAACACGUACUUAUGGGUUCGUCAACACUUAGUCAUCCCCCAUGAAGUACCGACUGACAGACUAGAGCUCUAUACUGACCGUAACCAAUCACCCGGCUAAGGCUUGGUUCCCGGUCCACCACGAAGGCUCCUAAUCUAAUGCACACAAUCACCACUAAGGCACAACCACAACGAAUGCACAACAAUCACCACGAAGGCACAUAUUCUUUUACUCUCCCAUCAUAACACUUAUCAAUCACAAAAUAAUAAUAUCAUCAUAACCGUAACCAAUCACCCGAUUAAAGGCUUGGAACCCGGUUUGACUAUUCAAACAUCAAUUCAACAUCACACUAACACAUUAUCAUAACGUGUCUUUCACACAUAAACACGUGGAUAUAAAUAUUUUAAAACAAGAAUAAUUCUACCAACUCUAAUUAUUACUCAUGAUCGGAAGUCCUUUUGAAAGAUUAUACUAUUAACAGAAAACUUGUUUUCACUUACCAUGAGCCGUUGACGAUCAAGCUCAUUUAUAUUUAAAAACAAAAUCAUUUUCUUUCAAGGACAACUUCACAAUUAGCAAUAAUUAUCAUCAUCAUCAAAAUCACCAUCAUAAUCAUCAUCAAAAUCAACAUCACAAUCAUCAUCAAAUCAUCAUCAAAUCAACAUCACAAUCAUCAUCAAAUCAUGAUCAAAAUCAACAUCAAAAUCAUCAUCAAAUCAUCAUCAAAAUCAACAUCACAAUCAUCAUCAAAUCAUCAUCAAAAUAAGUAGGCCACAAAGUGGACCUUGGUGAGAUUUUACUCACCUUAACUCCCGCUGCGUCUUCAUAAGCACAAACGCAAGCGUCUAUCUCAAAGGCAACUCCACAAGUCACCCUAAUUAACACAAAUAUUAACCUUAGUAACCAAACAAACUAAGAGUAACAUUUGCCCAAAGGAGGGUAACUCUCCUUCAAGACCUCCCAAG
RNAcentral lists this long non-coding RNA (8390 nucleotides) under Fragaria vesca (wild strawberry). RNAcentral's name for it is "long non-coding RNA (FVES_LNC000710)". Lineage: Eukaryota; Viridiplantae; Streptophyta; Magnoliopsida; Rosales; Rosaceae. The record is from RNAcentral.